This 1369-nucleotide ribosomal RNA is filed under the name uncultured bacterium. RNAcentral's name for it is "bacterial SSU rRNA". It matches the Rfam family "Bacterial small subunit ribosomal RNA", at positions 28 to 1381 of the family's 1533-position model. The record is from RNAcentral.
GACGAACGCUGGCUGCGUGCCUAAUACAUGCAAGUAGAACGCUGAAGAGAGGAGCUUGCUCUUCUUGGAUGAGUUGCGAACGGGUGAGUAACGCGUAGGUAACCUGCCUUGUAGCGGGGGAUAACUAUUGGAAACGAUAGCUAAUACCGCAUAACAAUGGAUGACACAUGUCAUUUAUUUGAAAGGGGCAAUUGCUCCACUACAAGAUGGACCUGCGUUGUAUUAGCUAGUAGGUGAGGUAACGGCUCACCUAGGCGACGAUACAUAGCCGACCUGAGAGGGUGAUCGGCCACACUGGGACUGAGACACGGCCCAGACUCCUACGGGAGGCAGCAGUAGGGAAUCUUCGGCAAUGGGGGCAACCCUGACCGAGCAACGCCGCGUGAGUGAAGAAGGUUUUCGGAUCGUAAAGCUCUGUUGUAAGUCAAGAACGAGUGUGAGAGUGGAAAAUUCACACUGUGACGGUAGCUUACCAGAAAGGGACGGCUAACUACGUGCCAGCAGCCGCGGUAAUACGUAGGUCCCGAGCGUUGUCCGGAUUUAUUGGGCGUAAAGCGAGCGCAGGCGGUUUGAUAAGUCUGAAGUUAAAGGCUGUGGCUCAACCAUAGUUCGCUUUGGAAACUGUCAAACUUGAGUGCAGAAGGGGAGAGUGGAAUUCCAUGUGUAGCGGUGAAAUGCGUAGAUAUAUGGAGGAACACCGGUGGCGAAAGCGGCUCUCUGGUCUGUAACUGACGCUGAGGCUCGAAAGCGUGGGGAGCGAACAGGAUUAGAUACCCUGGUAGUCCACGCCGUAAACGAUGAGUGCUAGGUGUUGGAUCCUUUCCGGGAUUCAGUGCCGCAGCUAACGCAUUAAGCACUCCGCCUGGGGAGUACGACCGCAAGGUUGAAACUCAAAGGAAUUGACGGGGGCCCGCACAAGCGGUGGAGCAUGUGGUUUAAUUCGAAGCAACGCGAAGAACCUUACCAGGUCUUGACAUCCCGAUGCUAUUUCUAGAGAUAGAAAGUUACUUCGGUACAUCGGUGACAGGUGGUGCAUGGUUGUCGUCAGCUCGUGUCGUGAGAUGUUGGGUUAAGUCCCGCAACGAGCGCAACCCCUAUUGUUAGUUGCCAUCAUUCAGUUGGGCACUCUAGCGAGACUGCCGGUAAUAAACCGGAGGAAGGUGGGGAUGACGUCAAAUCAUCAUGCCCCUUAUGACCUGGGCUACACACGUGCUACAAUGGUUGGUACAACGAGUUGCGAGUCGGUGACGGCAAGCUAAUCUCUUAAAGCCAAUCUCAGUUCGGAUUGUAGGCUGCAACUCGCCUACAUGAAGUCGGAAUCGCUAGUAAUCGCGGAUCAGCACGCCGCGGUGAAUACGUUCCCGGGCCU